Molecule: ribosomal RNA, 498 nt
Filed under: uncultured soil bacterium
Lineage: Bacteria
Description: bacterial SSU rRNA
Rfam family: Bacterial small subunit ribosomal RNA
Source: RNAcentral
AGAAUCAACGCUGGCGGCGUGCCUCAGACAUGCAAGUCGAACGCGAAAGUUUCCUUCGGGAAGCGAGUAGAGUGGCGCACGGGUGAGUAACACGUAAGUAAUCUACCUCGGGGUGGGGAAUAACAUCGGGAAACCGAUGCUAAUACCGCAUAAUGCAGCGGCUUCUUAUGAAGACAGUUGUUAAAGCAUUUAUGUGCCUGGAGAGGAGCUUGCGGCAGAUUAGCUAGUUGGUAAGGUAAUGGCUUACCAAGGCAACGAUCUGUAGCCGACCUGAGAGGGUGGUCGGUCACACUGACACUGAAUAACGGGUCAGACUCCUACGGGAGGCAGCAGUCGGGAAUUUUGGGCAAUGGGACGAAAGCCUGACCCAGCAACGCGCGUGAAGGAUGAAAGUAUUUCGGUAUGUAAACUUACGUAAAAAAUAAGGAAGAAAUAAAAUAGAACGGUAACUAUUUAGGUAAAGGUCCGGUACUAAACGUACGUAGACCAGCAGCCGAC